RNAcentral lists this ribosomal RNA (252 nucleotides) under uncultured bacterium. RNAcentral describes it as "partial 16S ribosomal RNA". It matches the Rfam family "Bacterial small subunit ribosomal RNA", at positions 524 to 776 of the family's 1533-position model. The record is from RNAcentral.
UACGGAGGGAGCUAGCGUUGUUCGGAAUUACUGGGCGUAAAGCGCGCGUAGGCGGUUAUUCAAGUCAGAGGUGAAAGCCCAGAGCUCAACUCUGGAAUUGCCUUUAGACUGCAUCGCUUGAAUCAUGGAGAGGUCAGUGGAAUUCCGAGUGUAGAGGUGAAAUUCGUAGAUAUUCGGAAGAACACCAGUGGCGAAGGCGGCUGACUGGACAUGUAUUGACGCUGAGGUGCGAAAGCGUGGGGAGCAAACAGG